GUGGGGAAUAUUGGUCAAUGGGCGAGAGCCUGAACCAGCCAAGUAGCGUGCAGGAUGACGGCCCUAUGGGUUGUAAACUGCUUUUAUACGGGGAUAAAGUGAGGGACGUGUCCCUUUUUGUAGGUACCGUAUGAAUAAGGACCGGCUAAUUCCGUGCCAGCAGCCGCGGUAAUACGGAAGGUCCGGGCGUUAUCCGGAUUUAUUGGGUUUAAAGGGAGCGCAGGCCGGAGGUCAAGCGUGACGUGAAAUGUAGCCGCUCAACGGCUGAGUUGCGUCGCGAACUGGCUUUCUUGAGUGAGUACGACGUCAGCGGAAUUCGUGGUGUAGCGGUGAAAUGCUUAGAUAUCACGAAGAACCCCGAUUGCGAAGGCAGCUGACGAGUCCUUUACUGACGCUAAAGCUCGAAGGUGCGGGUAUCGAACAGG
Molecule: ribosomal RNA, 425 nt
Filed under: uncultured rumen bacterium
Lineage: Bacteria
Description: bacterial SSU rRNA
Rfam family: Bacterial small subunit ribosomal RNA
Source: RNAcentral